RNAcentral lists this ribosomal RNA (460 nucleotides) under uncultured bacterium. RNAcentral describes it as "partial 16S ribosomal RNA". It matches the Rfam family "Bacterial small subunit ribosomal RNA", at positions 338 to 795 of the family's 1533-position model. The record is from RNAcentral.
CCUACGGGUGGCAGCAGUGAGGAAUAUUGGUCAAUGGCCGAAAGUCUGAACCAGCCAAGUAGCGUGAAGGAUGACUGCCCUAUGGGUUGUAAACUUCUUUUAUCAAGGGAUAAAAUGAUGCACGAGUGCCUUUUUGUGUGUACUUUAUGAAUAAGGAUCGGCUAACUCCGUGCCAGCAGCCGCGGUAAUACGGAGGAUCCGAGCGUUAUCCGGAUUUAUUGGGUUUAAAGGGAGCGUAGGCGGGUUGUUAAGUCAGUAGUGAAAGUUUGCGGCUCAACCGUAACAUUGCAGUUGAAACUGGCAGUCUUGAGUACAGGAGAGGUAGGCGGAAUGCGUGGUGUAGCGGUGAAAUGCUUAGAUAUCACGAAGAACUCCGAUUGCGAAGGCAGCUUACCGGACUGCAACUGACACUGAGGCUCGAAAGUGUGGGUAUCAAACAGGAUUAGAUACCCCAGUAGUC